RNAcentral lists this ribosomal RNA (381 nucleotides) under Triticum aestivum (bread wheat). RNAcentral describes it as "partial small subunit ribosomal RNA". The record is from RNAcentral. Lineage: Eukaryota; Viridiplantae; Streptophyta; Magnoliopsida; Poales; Poaceae.
AUGGGAUGCUAUAAACUUCCAAGAGGACUAUGUCUCAUAUUAAUUCAGCAAUCAGGAACUUCUAGUGGGGUAGCAAAAUUGGCAGAAGGAGUUUUUUUGUCAUGGGAAGUGAUGAUGAGACCAAAACACUUAGGAGGGUUUGUCUUUAGGGACAUUGGACUUUUCAAUCUUUCUCUACUUGCUAGGCAGGCCUGGCGACUUCUGCAACAACCAGAGACAUUAAGUGAAAGAAUUUUGAAGGCUAGAUAUUAACUCAAUACUAACAUUCUCCAUGCUCAGCUUGGCAGGAACCCUUCUCAGAUCUAGAGGGCUAUCAUUGAUGGAAGAGAUGUACUUUCUCAAGGUUUAAUCAAGAGGGUGGGUGAUGGUGUUGACGUAUAA